This 855-nucleotide ribosomal RNA is filed under the name uncultured Streptococcus sp. Its description in RNAcentral is "bacterial SSU rRNA". It matches the Rfam family "Bacterial small subunit ribosomal RNA", at positions 45 to 883 of the family's 1533-position model. Lineage: Bacteria; Bacillati; Bacillota; Bacilli; Lactobacillales; Streptococcaceae. The record is from RNAcentral.
UGCUAAUACAUGCAAGUAGAACGCUGAAGAGAGGAGCUUGCUCUUCUUGGAUGAGUUGCGAACGGGCGAGUAACGCGUAGGUAACCUGCCUUGUAGCGGGGGAUAACUAUUGGAAACGAUAGCUAAUACCGCAUAACAAUGGGUGACACAUGUCAUUUAUUUGAAAGGGGCAAUUGCUCCACUACAAGAUGGACCUGCGUUGUAUUAGCUAGUAGGUGAGGUAACGGCUCACCUAGGCGACGAUACAUAGCCGACCUGAGAGGGUGAUCGGCCACACUGGGACUGAGACACGGCCCAGACUCCUACGGGAGGCAGCAGUAGGGAAUCUUCGGCAAUGGGGGCAACCCUGACCGAGCAACGCCGCGUGAGUGAAGAAGGUUUUCGGAUCGUAAAGCUCUGUUGUAAGUCAAGAACGAGUGUGAGAGUGGGAAGUUCACACUGUGACGGUAGCUUACCAGAAAGGGACGGCUAACUACGUGCCAGCAGCCGCGGUAAUACGUAGGUCCCGAGCGUUGUCCGGAUUUAUUGGGCGUAAAGCGAGCGCAGGCGGUUUGAUAAGUCUGAAGUUAAAGGCUGUGGCUCAACCAUAGUUCGCUUUGGAAACUGUCAAACUUGAGUGCAGAAGGGGAGAGUGGAAUUCCAUGUGUAGCGGUGAAAUGCGUAGAUAUAUGGAGGAACACCGGUGGCGAAAGCGGCUCUCUGGUCUGUAACUGACGCUGAGGCUCGAAAGCGUGGGGAGCGAACAGGAUUAGAUACCCUGGUAGUCCACGCCGUAAACGAUGAGUGCUAGGUGUUGGAUCCUUUCCGGGAUUCAGUGCCGCAGCUAACGCAUUAAGCACUCCGCCUGGGGAGUAC